GACANCUUAGAAUAAUUACACAUAGAAACCAAGUCCGCCUCCGUAAAGUGAGGCAACUCAAACCUAGCCAUAUUGGCUAAGUUCAUUAUUCGGCCCGUCAGUGCUCAAGCACGUGUCGUAUUGAAAAGUACUCCCGAAAUUUUUAUUAAAAAUGACGGUUUGUUCAAUGAACGGAUGUCAUAGUAUAUCAGAAAAACACAAAAAAGAUAGUAACAAUACAUUUCACGCGGUUCCUUCCUAUCAUCGAAGCGACAAUUGUUCAGAAAACAGUUGCAGUUGUUACAAGGCUACUGAAAUUAAUAAUUAUACAUGUUAUUUGUUUUUCUUUCUCA
This 332-nucleotide long non-coding RNA is filed under the name Bombyx mandarina (wild silkworm). RNAcentral's name for it is "uncharacterized LOC114242357". The record is from RNAcentral. Lineage: Eukaryota; Metazoa; Arthropoda; Insecta; Lepidoptera; Bombycidae.